GGCCUGGUGGUGUAACUGGAAACACGUCUUCACAUUUUUCACAUGUCUCAGCGUCAUUCAGAGGAAAUUCCCCGUUCGAUUCGGGGCCAGGCCA
Mycena crocata is the source of this 94-nucleotide non-coding RNA. NCBI's taxonomy places the organism in Eukaryota, Fungi, Basidiomycota, Agaricomycetes, Agaricales, Mycenaceae. The record is from the annotation of a GenBank genome assembly.